UAGAGGCCUACCAUGGUGGUAACGGGUAACGGGGUGUUAGGGCACGACACCGGAGAGGGAGCCUGAGAAACGGCUACCACAUCCAAGGAUGGCAGCAGGCGCGCAAAUUACCCAAUCCCGACACGGGGAGGUAGUGACAAUAAAUAACAAUACGGGGUUCUUUAGGAUCUCGUAAUUGGAAUGAGUACAAUUUAAAUCUCUUAACGAGGAACAAUUGGAGGGCAAGUCUGGUGCCAGCAGCCGCGGUAAUUCCAGCUCCAAUAGCGUAUAUUAAAGUUGUUGCAGUUAAAAAGCUCGUAGUUGAAUUUCGGGAUCAAUUUAUUGGUCGUGCUAUUGUACGUACUGGUAUUAUUGAUUUCUACCUUCUGACGAACCAUGAUGUCAUUAAUUUGGUGUCAUGGGGAAUCAGGACUGUUACUUUGAAAAAAUUAGAGUGUUUAAAGCAGGCUCACGCUUGAAUACAUUAGCAUGGAAUAACGAAAUAGGACGUUUGAUUCUAUUUUGUUGGUUUCUAGGAUCGACGUAAUGAUUAAUAGGGAUAGUUGGGGGCAUUAGUAUUCAAUUGUCAGAGGUGAAAUUCUUGGAUUUAUUGAAGACUAACUACUGCGAAAGCAUUUGCCAAGGAUGUUUUCAUUAAUCAAGUACGAAAGUUAGGGGAUCGAAGACGAUCAGAUACCGUCGUAGUCUUAACCAUAAACUAUGCCGACUAGGGAUCGGAUGA
Molecule: ribosomal RNA, 721 nt
Filed under: uncultured Glomus
Lineage: Eukaryota; Fungi; Glomeromycota; Glomeromycetes; Glomerales; Glomeraceae
Description: SSU rRNA
Rfam family: Eukaryotic small subunit ribosomal RNA
Source: RNAcentral